CUUGUGGUUUCUUACUAAUUUGCUGUUGUGUCGGGGCUAGGAGGUCCAUCUUAGUGUGCUAGAGGCCAGAAGGAGAAUAAUGAAGUCCUUAGUAGAGUGUGUUAGUGUGCACAUGUGUUAGCAGCGACUCCUCAAGUAUGGGUGAGUCAUAGCUAGGGAGGAGAAAAGGAAAUAGAAAUAGACAAAGGAAGAUGGAAGAGGGAUUGAAAUGAGCAAAGAAACCUUACCUGACCCAACCAGAACAAGAGACUAUAAAAGAGAGGUCAAUUUCAGGAGGUGUCUAUUGUUACUGUCCUUAUCAUUCUCCCAACCAGAACAAGAGGCUUAGAAAGAGAGGUCAAUUUCAGGAGGUGUCUAUUGUUACUGUCCUUAUCAUUCUCCCAACCAGAACAAGAGGCUUAGAAAGAGAGGUCAAUUUCAGGAGGUGUCUAUUGUUACUGUCCUUAUCAUUCUCCCAACCAGAACAAGAGGCUUAGAAAGAGAGGUCAAUUUCAGGAGGUGUCUAUUGUUACCGUCAUCAUUAUCAUUCUUCCAACCAGAACAAGAGGCGGUAUUAUUCUAGUGUUUGCCCAUACUCACCCCUCGCAACCAAAAUUGGCUAGGGGGCCAUUGAGACUUCGGGGAAUGUGGUGGUAAACAUGAAAUGCGUCACAAAUGCAUAGUUUUUGAGUAAUGAGGGGUUGAAAAAUACCCUAGAUGUAGGGAAAUUCCUUACAACUACUUAGAUGUAGGGAAAUUUCAUACAUCCCAGGGUUUUUUUUACAACGUACGGAAACCACUCAAGGUAAUUAUUGAAAAUCACUCCGCACCUCGAAAAUACGAUAUUGCGCCUCCAUAUUGUACUUAAGGGCAUAUUAUACAUACAGACGAUGUGUUUACAUGGCGACACCAUUGCAAUAUGAGCAGCGUUGCCAACGAUCCGGUUAGCAAUGAUACGCUAGGUGAGACCAGGUCCACCACGCGUGAUUAUUUAUUAUUUUUUUUUUUUGGAACACGCACCUUUACCUAAUACUAUUUCCGAUGGUACGCUAGGUUAGCGAUGGGAGGCUAAGAAAGAGAGGUCAAUUUCAGGAGGUGUCUAUUGUUACCAUUAUCAUUCUUCCAACCAGAACAAAAGGCUAAGAAAGAGAGGUCAAUUUCAGGAGGUGUCUGUUGUUACUGU
Molecule: long non-coding RNA, 1162 nt
Organism: Eriocheir sinensis (Chinese mitten crab)
Lineage: Eukaryota; Metazoa; Arthropoda; Malacostraca; Decapoda; Varunidae
Exons: 4
Source: RefSeq, a predicted model, not a curated record